GUCGCCUCGGCUUUCUUUCGCACUGUCUCGCGUUAUCGGAGGCCUUCAGGCAGCACCGGGAGAAGGGUGGAGAUACGUUGAGGGAGAGGGGCACGGCGAGGGACCCCCGCCGGGCGUGGAAAGUGCUGCUUAAUCCAACAAACUACUCACGCUAGACCGAGAGGGAGGGGGGCUGUACAUGUACAGACACAUGCACCCCGAAAGCCAUGUGCAUUGCACUUCUCCGUCAUAUUCGAAAGCACAGGGAGUUUAUCUGUAAACAGCAGAACAUCAUUCAUUAGUUGCAUAAACGGGAAAUGGCGCUAAAGCGAAUUCAGAAGGAGCUGACGGAUUUACAACGUGACCCUCCAGCGCAGUGCUCAGCUGGCCCGGUUGGGGAGGACUUAUUUCACUGGCAGGCCACCAUCAUGGGACCGAAUGACAGUCCCUUCCAGGGUGGUGUCUUCUUCCUGACUAUACACUUUCCCACGGAUUACCCUUUUAAACCACCCAAGGUGGCCUUCACCACUAAGAUCUUCCACCCCAACAUCAACAGCAAUGGCAGUAUUUGUCUGGAUAUCUUGCGGUCCCAGUGGUCCCCAGCCCUCACGGUCUCCAAAGUCCUGCUGUCAAUCUGCUCGCUGCUGUGUGACCCAAACCCUGACGACCCACUGGUGCCAGAGAUCGCCCACACCUACAAGGCAGACAGAGAGAAGUGAGCGACGUCCUGCUGUCCGCUCUGGCUCGUUCACCUGUCCCCAUGCUCAGUGACCUCUCCAGGGCUAGGCUCUUGUCCAGAGCAAGUUAGAAUCAAAGAAAAAUUAAAAGGUACAACCGACUGGCUAUGGAAUGGACACAGAAGUAUGCCAUGUGAGGAAGGGACCUGGUGUCAAUGAACUGAAGAGCUGGGAAUACAAAACAUUUUAACUGUGAACACUGGCAGACGGAACCGACAGACUGAGCUGUUGGGGUCCGGAGUGAAAAUGCUGGACCAGCCAUGUUCUGUAGGGGGUGUUCCCCCCCCAAUACACCCUCCAGUGCAUCUUAUUGGCUGACACUCACAGGUCUGCCAUGUGAGGACAGCAGGACACCUUGCCAAAGUGCAGCAUGACCUUUGACCUCCUGUGAGUGCCAUGGGAUACCCUCCGUAGAGAUGCAAUUGGCUCUAUGAUUGUUAUCUUCAUUAUAAAUAUUUAUUUAAAUAGAGAAGCUGUGAUUA
Molecule: RNA transcript, 1198 nt
Organism: Paramormyrops kingsleyae
Lineage: Eukaryota; Metazoa; Chordata; Actinopteri; Osteoglossiformes; Mormyridae
Gene name: ubiquitin-conjugating enzyme E2 D4-like
Source: RefSeq, a predicted model, not a curated record